UACGAAGGGGGCUAGCGUUGUUCGGAAUUACUGGGCGUAAAGCGCGCGCAGGCGGUCUUCCAAGUCAGUGGUGAAAGCCCGGAGCUCAACUCCGGAACUGCCAUUGAAACUGUGAGACUUGAGGAUGAGAGAGGUGAGUGGAAUUCCCAGUGUAGAGGUGAAAUUCGUAGAUAUUGGGAAGAACACCGGUGGCGAAGGCGGCUCACUGGCUCAUUUCUGACGCUCAGGCGCGACAGCGUGGG
This 242-nucleotide ribosomal RNA is filed under the name uncultured bacterium. Its description in RNAcentral is "partial 16S ribosomal RNA". It matches the Rfam family "Bacterial small subunit ribosomal RNA", at positions 524 to 765 of the family's 1533-position model. The record is from RNAcentral.